Molecule: long non-coding RNA, 2492 nt
Organism: Folsomia candida
Lineage: Eukaryota; Metazoa; Arthropoda; Collembola; Entomobryomorpha; Isotomidae
Exons: 3
Source: RefSeq, a predicted model, not a curated record
CUUUGCCUGAAUCUUGUCUAAUUAGCGAAAGGAUUAAAAAUGAAGGAUUGUGACUUGAGAAAUAGUUCAGUACGGAAUGUUCUAGUGGUCGUGGUGGGUCGUGGGUGGCGACGUUGUUCAAUCCGAAACUUGGGAAGCAAAUCUCUGGAAAGAAUUUGAAAGCCUUAUUGUGAAAUCUUGUUAGUUUUUCUUGUUAUUUAUAAACUAUGUGCGUUCUCUGUUCGGAGUUUGUAAGGCUUAGAAGAAGAAAAUGAGCAUUCGUGUUUACUCAUAAUAGGCAAGAAACAAGAGUUAUUUUCUGUUACCCCUUCAUCCACGUGUAUCGUAAUUAACAGACAUUCAACGUAGAUAAGUGGGCAAAUUUUUGUCAAAAAGUUUGUCAAGAAAUAUUUUUGUGUAAAACCUUGUCCUUCAGCGCACGUGGAGUUCUUCGUGCAUAUCUUUAGAUUUUUGAUGAACGUAUGAUGUUUUUCGCUGCGUAACAAGAAUUGAGCAAAAGAGACGCUAAACAUGUUUCCAUAAACAUAUAAUCCACCUGUCUGAUCUCACACAAAAAUAAGAAAUUCGGUUCGACACCUAUUUCUGCUGAGUGGUCUGUCUAAAAUGUUGUUGUUUGUUUGUUAUUUUAAAAUUUUUAGAGUAAAUGCGUGGUGAAAGUUCUGAUCUAGAAAACAACUGGAGAACAUGCCCAGGCCAAAUCUCCAGCGGAAGAUUACUUUCCCUAAACCCACCACUUUGUCUGAUUUCCUCUCUGUAUACAUAAUUAAUGCAUGUGGUUAAUGUUAACGUGCAGUAAUUUGCAUGUCAUGACACAUAUGUACACACAUCAAACAAAGACAGAUGUAUAAUUGUAUUGUAUAAUGUGAAUCUGGCCGAGGAAGAAAAGUAUAUACCUAAAUAUGUAUUCAUGCAAGGAUUACGCUUAUCAUAUCUUUGGUCCCUUUUACGCGGAACUAAUGCCAAAUAUGGUAUUGGAAACGUGCUGACGCGGAGGCUUUGUUUAAUAAAACGGAUCAAGUGAUGAGUUAUGUUAUGUAAAUGUAAUAAUGUGAUGCAAAUUGAGAAGUGGAGGAGGGGGGAAAGCAAUGCGGAUUUCAACCCCCACCUGUGCAUAUGUUCAUACCUGUCAUUCUGCAUCGAUCCCACCCACCGGAGCACCUACGCAAAUUGAAAAAUUGCACCAGAGUGUCUCCAACUUUUAAAAUAAUGGUAAGAAGCGAUGACGCGUAAAAACAUUUUCACCAUUUUAGCCUCUUUUACCUAACUAAAUAGCAGAUGUGGUAAGUUGUGGAGACAGUUUGUGUGACACAUCCAUUGUACAUCUCUCUUCCAAUCUGGAAUGGAAAGCGUUGGCCGAAAGAAAGAGGAGUGACGGACCACGACGCAGACUUUCCAGUUAGCAGGGAAAGUAUAAAAGGGGAGAAGGAGACCUUUGCAGUGAUCAGAGACAAAAACUGCGUCCAGCAAGACAAUACACUCCCACGAUCUGCGGGCUUUACCUGCAGAACCACCACACUCCAUUCUUACCACUCGGACGCUGAUAGAGCAGGCCUCAACUAUUGUGUAGCCGUUGAAAGAGCAAAGUAGAGUUAAUUAACUAUAAUUUUUCUGUAAUACGAGGGGAAUUCGAAACUCGAAAUCAGGUAGCAGAAUGCAUUGCAUGACUGCUUGGGUUCUGGUAAUAGUCGUUGGGUCAGCAAUUUUGGUGGCAGCGAAUGGCCCACCACCCACGGAGUUGCUUACCGAGGGAGAUAUUCCAAUGCUGACCUCGAGUAUGGAGAUGGAGGGAAAACCACCGCGUCCUCGGCUGUUCCAGUCGCCGGAACAGAUUCGAAUGUACUUGGACAGUUUGGGAAAAUAUUACAACUACCAAAAUCGAAACAGGUUUGGGAAACGGGGCAGUGGACCAGACCCGUAUUUACAAUUCAAGGACCCAUACGAAAUUAAGGGUGUUCCAGAGUACGACUUCAGAAGUCCUUUGUAGGUUGCGGAAGGUAAAUGGGGAACUAGACGAAGACGAAGAAUAAAUAAAUUUUGGCUAGAAACCAUUUAGCAAGUAUUUUAUAACAGAAAGAAUUGUGCUCCUUCUCAGAAGAUGCAGUGAAACUUGUUAUUCGAUAUCUGCACUUGUCGUCGGCGCUGAAUUACGUAGUUGACAUAAUUGUAUGUAGAUUCUCUCUCAGAUAAAAAAAUCUUAUUAAAAAAUAGCCCACAUUUUUGUACGGGUGAAUUGUGUAUAUAAAGUGGGCUAUAGAAUUGAUUGAUGUUCACGUAUGACUCGGAAAUAGUGAAUUCAUUCUUUAGCAAUUUUUGCCAGUAGAAUUUAGCUGCAAUCAUAGAAUAUAAUAUGGACCGAAGAACGAAGUGCAACAUGAACACGGCGUUGGUUAAGAGUAUCUCCAUCCAAAUAAUCAUUCUAAAUAAGUUUAAGUCACAAUUAUGUCCAGUUUGUUUUGCAUAAAUAAAAGUCUUUUAUUUGAAAAUCCAUGUAA